RNAcentral lists this unclassified non-coding RNA (502 nucleotides) under uncultured Glomus. Its description in RNAcentral is "SSU rRNA". It matches the Rfam family "Eukaryotic small subunit ribosomal RNA", at positions 569 to 1076 of the family's 1831-position model. The record is from RNAcentral. Lineage: Eukaryota; Fungi; Glomeromycota; Glomeromycetes; Glomerales; Glomeraceae.
AGCAGCCGCGGUAAUUCCAGCUCCAAUAGCGUAUAUUAAAGUUGUUGCAGUUAAAAGCUCGUAGUUGAAUUUCGGGGUUAGCAGGUCGGUCGUGCCAUCGGUAUGAACUGGUCUCGCUGAUCCCUCCCUCUUGACGAACUGUGAUGCCAUUAAUUUGGUGUCGCAGGGAAUCAGGACUGUUACUUUGAAAAAUUAGAGUGUUUAAAGCAGGCUCACGCUUGAAUACAUUAGCAUGGAAUAAUGAAAUAGGACGUUUGAUCCUAUUUUGUUGGCUUCUAGGAUUGACGUAAUGAUUAAUAGGGAUAGUUGGGGGCAUUAGUAUUCAAUUGUCAGAGGUGAAAUCCUUGGAUUUAUUGAAGACUAACUACUGCGAAAGCAUUUGCCAAGGAUGUUUUCAUUAAUCAAGAACGAAAGUUAGGGAUCGAAGACGAUCAGAUACCGUCGUAGUCUUAACCAUAAACUAUGCCGACUAGGGAUCGGAUGAUGUUAAUUUUUAAUGACU